UCCAGACUCCUACGGGAGGCAGCAGUGGGGGAUAUUGCACAAUGGGGGGAACCCUGAUGCAGCGACGCCGCGUGGGUGAAGGAGCGUUUCGGCGCGUAAAGCCCUAUCGGCAGGGAAGAAGGAGGACGGUACCUGACUAAGAAGCCCCGGCUAACUACGUGCCAGCAGCCGCGGUAAUACGUAGGGGGCAAGCGUUAUCCGGAUUUACUGGGUGUAAAGGGGGCGCAGACGGCAGCGCAAGCCAGGAGUGAAAGCCCGGGGCGCAGCCCCGGGACUGCUCUUGGAACUGCGCGGCUGGAGUGCAGGAGGGGCAGGCGGAAUUCCUGGUGUAGCGGUGAAAUGCGUAGAUAUCAGGAGGAACACCGGUGGCGAAGGCGGCCUGCUGGACUGCGACUGACGUUGAGGCCCGAAAGCGUGGGGAGCAAACAGGAUUAGAUACCCGCG
This 444-nucleotide ribosomal RNA is filed under the name uncultured bacterium. Its description in RNAcentral is "bacterial SSU rRNA". It matches the Rfam family "Bacterial small subunit ribosomal RNA", at positions 330 to 790 of the family's 1533-position model. The record is from RNAcentral.